This 1381-nucleotide ribosomal RNA is filed under the name uncultured bacterium. RNAcentral describes it as "bacterial SSU rRNA". It matches the Rfam family "Bacterial small subunit ribosomal RNA", at positions 28 to 1392 of the family's 1533-position model. The record is from RNAcentral.
AAUCACGUUAGCGGCGUGCCUCAGACAUGCAAGUCGAACGCGAAAGUCCCCUUCGGGGGACAAGUAGAGUGGCGCACGGGUGAGUAACACGUAGGUAAUCUACCUUUGGAUGGGGAAUAACAACCGGAAACGGUUGCUAAUACCGCAUAAUGCAGCGGCACCUAAUGGUGACAGUUGUUAAAGCGGGGGAUCGAAAGACCUCGCGUCUGAAGAGGAGCCUGCGGCGGAUUAGCUAGUUGGUAGGGUAACGGCCUACCAAGGCUACGAUCCGUAGCCGGCCUGAGAGGGCGGUCGGCCACACUGACACUGACAUACGGGUCAGACUCCUACGGGAGGCAGCAGUCGGGAAUUUCGGGCAAUGGGCGAAAGCCUGACCCAGCAACGCCGCGUGAAGGAUGAAAUCCCUCGGGAUGUAAACUUCGCAAGAACGGGAAGAAUAAGUAGGGGACAAUACCCCCUAUGAUGACGGUACCGUUUGUAAGCUCCGGCUAACUCCGUGCCAGCAGCCGCGGUAAUACGGGGGGAGCAAGCGUUGUUCGGAUUUACUGGGCGUAAAGGGCGCGUAGGCGGCCUCCGCAAGUCAAUUGUGAAAUCUCCGGGCUUAACUCGGAAAGGUCAACUGAUACUGCGGGGCUAGAGUGCGGAAGGGGCAACUGGAAUUCUUGGUGUAGCGGUGAAAUGCGUAGAUAUCAAGAGGAACACCUGCGGCGAAGGCGGGUUGCUGGGCCGACACUGACGCUGAGGCGCGAAAGCUAGGGGAGCGAACGGGAUUAGAUACCCCGGUAGUCCUGGCCCUAAACGAUGAAUGCUUGGUGUGGCGGGUAUCGAUCCCUGCCGUGCCGAAGCUAACGCAUUAAGCAUUCCGCCUGGGGAGUACGGUCGCAAGGCUGAAACUCAAAGGAAUUGACGGGGGCCCGCACAAGCGGUGGAGCAUGUGGUUCAAUUCGACGCAACGCGAAGAACCUUACCCAGGCUUGAACUGCGAGUGACUACUCCCGAAAGGGGGCUUCCGCAAGGACACUCGUAGAGGUGCUGCAUGGCUGUCGUCAGCUCGUGUUGUGAGAUGUUGGGUUAAGUCCCGCAACGAGCGCAACCCUUGUUUGCUGUUGCCAUCAGGUUAUGCUGGGCACUCUGCAAAGACUGCCGGUGAUAAACCGGAGGAAGGUGGGGAUGACGUCAAGUCAGCAUGGCCUUUAUGUCUGGGGCUACACACGUGCUACAAUGGCCGAUACAAACCGUCGCAAAGCCGUAAGGUGGAGCUAAUCGGAGAAAGUCGGUCUCAGUUCGGAUAGCAGGCUGCAACUCGCCUGCUUGAAGUUGGAAUCGCUAGUAAUCCGGAUCAGCACGCCGCGGUGAUACGUUCCCGGGCAUGCACACACCG